CCUACGGGAGGCUGCAGUGGGGAAUAUUGGACAAUGGGGGAAACCCUGCUCCAGCAAUGCCGCGUGUGUGAAGAAGGCCUGCGGGUUGUAAAGCACUUUCGGUUGGGAAGAAAAGUUUGGCGCCAAUACCGCCGAACCUUGACGUUACUGACAGAAGAAGCACCGGCUAACUCUGUGCCAGCAGCCGCGGUAAUACAGAGGGGACAAGCGUGGAUCGGAAUCACUGGGCGUAAUGCGUCAAUUGGUGUUUGAAAUCCCCGGGCUUAACCUGGGAACUGCAUUCGAUACUACAUGGCUAGAGUAUGGUAGAGGGAAGUGGAAUUUCCGGUGUAGCGGUGAAAUGCGUAGAUAUCGGAAGGAACACCAAUGGCGAAGGCAGCUUCCUGGACUAAUACUGACACUGAGGCACGAAAGCGUGGGUAGCAAACAGGAUUAGAUACCCCAGUAGUC
This 450-nucleotide ribosomal RNA is filed under the name uncultured bacterium. Its description in RNAcentral is "partial 16S ribosomal RNA". It matches the Rfam family "Bacterial small subunit ribosomal RNA", at positions 338 to 795 of the family's 1533-position model. The record is from RNAcentral.